This 413-nucleotide ribosomal RNA is filed under the name uncultured bacterium. RNAcentral describes it as "bacterial SSU rRNA". It matches the Rfam family "Bacterial small subunit ribosomal RNA", at positions 507 to 921 of the family's 1533-position model. The record is from RNAcentral.
GCCAGCAGCCGCGGUAAGACGUAGGACGCAAGCGUUAUCCGGAUUUACUGGGCGUAAGGCGUCUGUAGGCGGAAUGGUAAGUUGGGCGUGAAAGCUCCGGGCUCAACCCGGAGAGGACGUUCAAUACUGCCAGGCUAGAGGACAUCAAAGGAGCGUGGAAUUUCCGGUGUAGCGGUAAAAUGCGCAAAUAUCGGAAGGAACACCAGUGGCGAAGGCGGCGCUCUGGGAUGUACCUGACGCUAAGAGACGAAAGCUAGGGGAGCGAACAGGAUUAGAGACCCUGGUAGUCCUAGCCCUAAACGAUGGAUGCUAGGUGUAGGGCCGAGAAGGCUCUGUGCCGGAGCUAACGCGAUAAGCAUCCCGCCUGGGGAUUACGGCCGCAAGGCUAAAACUCAAACGAAUUGACGGGGCCC